Long non-coding RNA from Salvia hispanica, 912 nucleotides. RefSeq lists it as uncharacterized. The record is from RefSeq and is a predicted model, not a curated record. NCBI's taxonomy places the organism in Eukaryota, Viridiplantae, Streptophyta, Magnoliopsida, Lamiales, Lamiaceae.
ACUAAAGGAGUAAAACCGAACAAAAGGUCAGACAUUGGGAAGACCAUGAGCAUGGAUGUGAAACAUGGAGAGAAGAGAAUGAUUGGUGAAGUUUGAGAGAGUCUCGUAAAUAACCAAGUUGACAACAGUACAGGAGGAUCGAGGGAUACUAGUUCCAAACACAAACCAGAUGGAAUGGUUGCUUUGCCAAAAAAGAAGAAAUUGUCAUGGAAAUCGUGCCAUUGCUUUGAGUGGCCUAGCUGCUGCAGUAAAUUUCCAGAUUGAUCGUGCAAAUGUAUCACUGGCCUGGUUUCUCUCUUAAAUUGUUCACCUGCCGUGGCUGCUUGUAUGAGAGGCAAAGCAGUCCAUUGAAGUAUCCGAGAUGGGCAGGCAGCUGCUUUAGAUGUUGGCCUUGCCUCAAGUGGCGAUGUUAAAAUUGUACUUCAACUGUUGUGAUUCCAGUAAUGCGUAUGCUGAUCUUCCACAUAGUAGAAAUGUAUGUGUGUAUCAGAGCACCAGCCUCUCGAUUGUGCCAGUAUGCUGCCAAGCUCUGUGAAGGCAACAAAGCAAAAGGCAUGCUCUUCCUUUUCGUGUUCUAGUUCAUGUUGUUGUUGAUGAUGUGUCGCCUUUAACUGGCCUUCCUCUUUUAUCAUGUCUUUGUCGUUGCUUUAUAGCUUCUCGGACAGAACUAGAUGUGCAUUUAGUUGAUAAUUCUAAUCUAGACACCUUUAUUUUUCCUAUAACCUUGAAAUAGAGGUUGCUGCUUUUGGCUUAUAAAAAACUCAAUUUCCAUUAUUUAGAUGUAAUCAGUUGCACUAGCUCUGCUAUCGUUGCUCGCUUAGUAGCCAAUUUGUCACUCAAUGCUCUUUAAUUUAGUAGUACAGGGUUCACUUUAUUCCCCAAUAAAGUUUAUACUACUAUUUAGUAUUUUCA